Eriocheir sinensis (Chinese mitten crab) is the source of this 592-nucleotide long non-coding RNA. RefSeq lists it as uncharacterized. The record is from RefSeq and is a predicted model, not a curated record. NCBI's taxonomy places the organism in Eukaryota, Metazoa, Arthropoda, Malacostraca, Decapoda, Varunidae. The transcript is spliced from 5 exons.
AAGCACUUACUAAGCUGAAUAGAUCAACGUGGUUAUUUGAUUAGUAGUUGGAGUUCGUUUCCCUGUGGACUCGAAUCCUUGGGUGACACUUGAGCUUCAUUGAGGCUGCCACUGCACACACGGGUGGAGGUGCCGCUGGAGCUGCUCAGGGGAAGGAAAUUCAUGAAGUUCGGUCAACUGGAUAUACGUUUCCCCUUCCCGAUGGUGUCGUGGAUCACAUCUGUAGAAGUCACGAGACUGGUGUGAACGGGCCGCGCGGUAAACCAUAUGACUGCACAAGUUCCGGGAAGAAUGUCAUCACCAGACUGUAAAUACCAAGUCUCCAUGAAGAUACAAGAACCGUCACCACACAGCUGCAUGGAAAGACCUGCUUCCUCUCCUCCCAAUGCACAAAUAAUUGCUGGAAAGUGUGAUGAUGCAGAACCCUGUUGAAUGUAGUUCACGCUGGGGGUUCUAGCCUUCCAGCGCUUAUAGUAGUCAAACUGCACGAGCUAGCUGUUUUGGAAGAAGGGAGAGAUCAAUCAACUUAUUAGGCUCAAAUAUGCUCUGUAAUGACUUGUCCGAAAAAUUAAAUAAACUUAAGGGACACUCA